Long non-coding RNA from Quercus lobata, 1129 nucleotides. RefSeq lists it as uncharacterized. The transcript is spliced from 3 exons. The record is from RefSeq and is a predicted model, not a curated record. Lineage: Eukaryota; Viridiplantae; Streptophyta; Magnoliopsida; Fagales; Fagaceae.
GCAGGACCCACUGGUAAAUAAGGGACGAAAUUCAGUUCUGUUGCUCAGUAUAGAUGUUUGGGAGCAUGCUUACUACUUGCAGGAAUAAAUGGCAUACUACAGGAUCACCCUUUAUCUAUGCUUCUUUCAGAAUUGCUGCAGCACUUAUUGAACUACUUGUUUGGGUAAUGAAUGUCAUCUGGGAAAUGAAUGUCAUCCCCAUUGAAGUGCCAAAACUCUUUCCGUUAUAUUUGACAGAGGGUUGAUUGGAAUCUAUCUUCCACAAAGUGCUUGUAGAGGAAGAAUUUGUCUCCCACAAGAUGAACUUGCACAAGCUGGCUUGUCAGAUGAUGACACAGUUCAUGGAAAAGUGACUGGAUAAAUGGCUUGGUUUCAUGAAGGGCCACAUAAAAGCGAGCUAGGAUGUUCUAUGAUGAAGCGGAGAAUGGGGUUCCUGAGCUCAAAUUAGCAGAGUAGAUGGGGUGUAUGGGCAUGGUUGUUGCCGACAGAUUUUGGAUGCCAUUGGAGCUAAUGAUUACAACUACUUCACAAAACAGGCUUAGGUAGGAAAAGCACUAAUAUCAGUUCCAUUAGUCUACUUUGGAUUCCUGGGGAUACUAUAGUGCAGCAGCAUGAAGAGUUGCCCAGCAAGAAAGCAUGCUGAGAGACACUAGGAAGAUCCUUUAAUGCUUAUUGUCACUUAUGAGGGUGAUCAUAACCAUUCAAGGUUACUAUCAUCACAAUCUGCCCAUCAUGAGAACUUCAUGGAUAUUCUUCAAAGGAGAGGGGGAAAAAAAUAACUCCAAAAAUCAUGGAUAUCCUUCAAAGGAGAGGGGGGAAAAAAAGACUCCAAAAAUUCUACUGCCAACUUUUCACGUACAACUUCAUGUUUUCUUAUGAAUUGCUCCUGUAUAUAUAUCACUGAUAGUGGGAACUGGGAAGGAUCUGUUGUAAGAUAAAUGGGAUUUCUAAGUCUUUUUCAGCUUUCUGGAUAAGUCUGGUUUUAGACGCAACCAGAAUUUUUAAGGCCUUUUUAUAUAGAAUUCGGCAUAAAUUUCCAGAGUUCCUUUAUAAAGGACCAAAGGAAUUUUUAAACCCCUUUUGUAAAACAUAUUAUUCUUAAUUACUGCAUUCUUAAUUCUUAAAUGAU